AUUCUCUCCUCUGUGUGUGCAGGGAAGUCCAAGAGUUCGUGAAGGUCUGUAACUACCGGAAGGUCCGCUCGCCAUUGGAGUGUAGACCCGCACAGCGCAUGGGAAAACCGGCAGGACUACCAAAGCUGAUCAUCGGACCUGCGCCCUGGGACCCGUUUCUCUCCAGCAGAAUGUGCACAUCAGCCCUGUUCAUAAUGGCCUCAAAACGGCCUCCAUCUACGGCAGGCUGGAUGAUACAUUGUGUGUGUUCACAACACAGAAAUCACCACAGACAACAAGGAGAAUGGAUGACCCCCAGCUCCUCACAACAUGAAUGAAUCCCACAAGAUGAGAAAACCAAGGCUCUGGAAGGACAAGUGACUUGCCCAAGGUGACCGACAGGAAGUUGCAGAGCAGAAACCUGACCACAGGGUUCCUGAUUCUGGAAUUAGCAAUCAGGUUACCAUCAGUCACCUCCUCCAGAGGGAGGGAUUUCUGUUGCUCCCAAGUGUAAAAUGAGGGUUCUGAUGUUUGACACAUGGAUAGAUUCAUGUAACCACCACCAUCACCAUCAGGACCCAGAACAGCUCUGCCAUCCCAAAAAUCUCCCUUGCGUUCUUUAUAGUUACACAAUCCGCCCAUCCCUAAACCUGGCGAUCCCUGAUCUGUCCUCCACCACUGUGUUUUUGAUAGGUAUGGUAUUAAAUCCACAGACCAAUGUGGGAGGGUUUACGUCU
This is a long non-coding RNA of Cercocebus atys (sooty mangabey), 716 nucleotides long. RefSeq lists it as uncharacterized. The transcript is spliced from 2 exons. Lineage: Eukaryota; Metazoa; Chordata; Mammalia; Primates; Cercopithecidae. The record is from RefSeq and is a predicted model, not a curated record.